RNAcentral lists this ribosomal RNA (467 nucleotides) under uncultured bacterium. RNAcentral describes it as "partial 16S ribosomal RNA". It matches the Rfam family "Bacterial small subunit ribosomal RNA", at positions 28 to 507 of the family's 1533-position model. The record is from RNAcentral.
GAUGAACGCUGACAGAAUGCUUAACACAUGCAAGUCAACUUGAAUUUGGGUUUUUAACUUAGGUUUGGGUGGCGGACGGGUGAGUAACGCGUAAAGAACUUGCCUCACAGCUAGGGACAACAUUUGGAAACGAAUGCUAAUACCUAAUAUUAUGAUAAUAGGGCAUCCUAUAAUUAUGAAACCUAUAAGCGCUGUGAGAGAGCUUUGCGUCCCAUUAGCUAGUUGGAGAGGUAACGGCUCACCAAGGCGAUGAUGGGUAGCCGGCCUGAGAGGGUGAUCGGCCACAAGGGGACUGAGACACGGCCCUUACUCCUACGGGAGGCAGCAGUGGGGAAUAUUGGACAAUGGACCGAGAGUCUGAUCCAGCAAUUCUGUGUGCACGAUGAAGUUUUUCGGAAUGUAAAGUGCUUUCAGUUGGGAAGAAACAAAUGACGGUACCAACAGAAGAAGUGACGGCUAAAUACGUG